Molecule: ribosomal RNA, 1839 nt
Filed under: Triticum aestivum (bread wheat)
Lineage: Eukaryota; Viridiplantae; Streptophyta; Magnoliopsida; Poales; Poaceae
Description: partial small subunit ribosomal RNA
Source: RNAcentral
AUGGCGCAGGCUGCUAUUGAAUCUGCUGUGAGUGGUGGCGCGUUGAUUGGGAGACCGGCAGGGGUCCCGAGGAUGAAGAGAAAGACUCCCUCGGAGCUGCGGGGAGAACAAUAUAAGAGACACACUUCUGAAAAGAUUGCUGAUGAUCAGUUAUUUGCUUCUGCAGCAUUUGAUAGGCCAAAUAAUGGGCUUCGGAAUAUGGAACAACAAAAAAUACCCAAAUAUAUCAACACUCGUGUUACAGAGGUGUUCCCAGUUAAAAAAUCCAGAAAUGCUGGAAAGGAAAACUGUAAGGAUGCUUUACUCAAUAAUGAGAAGGUUCCCAAAUUUGCUGAUACUGUAACUACUUCACAUUCCGUGUCAUCUUCAUUCCUGCGCGGUGACUCUGUUAAGUUGGACUCUUCUAUUCCAUCACUUGUGGAGGCAGCGAAACCAAGUUUCAGGAAAGCUGAGAAAUACAGUGAAAAUGCUCUACGGAGUGUAUCCGACCUACACAUCGGUGAUGACAAGCAACCUGCCUCGAACAAAUUUGAUAUGGAAAAAGUGAUGAAAGGGUUUGGAGCUCGUGAUGCUUCUGGAGCUUCCAAUGCCCCUAACGUACAAGUUGGUGAUCUUCCUUUGAAGUCUUCAGAAGUGUGCCCUUCUAAGAUAAAAAUUCCAGGAAAAAGAGCUCCUUUGGAUCUCACUUUAAAGACUGCUCUGCAGUUCGUUUCAUCAUCUUCUGUGAAGUGGUGUCACAAUUUGAGUAUUGCUGGGCCCAUCACUCAGAGUUAUCGUGGUGGGUCUCAAAAUUCACGAUGCGCAAGGCCUGGGAAGGAAUUCUUGUUCUCAAGGGCACUGCAAUCAUGGGUAUAUCCACAGUCCCUGUUACCUGCAUCCAUCAUAUCUGCUAUGCUCUCAUCAACUGCACGAGGAGAAAAUGAGUUCCUUCUCAAGAGGUAUCAGGACUGGGAAGACUCGUUUCAGAAUCUUUACUACAUGCUCCGCAAGAAUCAAUUGAACAUCUUUUAUGUUUAUACAGCACAAUUUGUUGCUCUAUUCAUCCGUGGAAAUUGUUUGGAGAAGCAGCCCUGUAAUGCCUACUUGUCACAAUCUACACGUGGCAUACGGUCACUACUGCGAAAACAUGGUGUUCGCUUUUCUAUGCCUCUUUGCAAUGCUGAAGUGGAGCAGGUUACUGACGAUGACCUGAUGGAAUUUUCAAAAAUCCAAACACUCAAUCUGGGCCAGACACUUCAUAUAGAUGCUUUAUCUGAGGUGGACAACACUACAGAGUCACUCCUUUCGUUUACUGGCAAUAAGAGCGUUCAUGGCUUAUAUGAUGUCUUGUUGAACUACAAGUCCUUUCUGAAUUCAUUAUCCGCCACAGACGUCCCAGUGUUAUAUUCACCGGCGCCAUUUCAAAAUGGUUGCCUCCAUAUUCCAGAGGUCAUAUGCAGGGAGAUGAGGAAAGCUGAUACUGGCCUGGCCUCCUCUAUUGGUUUAGAUGAAGAACCUGGAUCAGCGUUCGCUCCUCCGCCAGGCAACAUGUGUUACAGCAUGGAAAUAAAGGAUGUGGUUAUCCCACCGUGGGUUGCCUCCGGCAUUUGUGCCGCGAUGAGCUCAGACACGGAUCACUUUGAUUUAACAAUCGGGACAGAGCCCUCCUCCAUGGGCUUAAACGCCGCUUUCACCUCCAUAGGCGCGAGCGGUCAGUCAAAGGCUCCUUCAGAGUCCUCUCCUGAAGGGUGCGAGGCCAUUGGCAUUCCCAGCGCCGUCUUGGUUCGCUCCUUGCACUCUGCCUCGCUCCGGCGCCUCAGUUACAACCACGGCGAAUACCUCGCGCACACAACCGUGUGA